CAAACAUAUAAGGCCAUAACUAAAGGGUGUAUACGUCAUGGAAAUUUUCCUGACUUAGUUCAAGAUGGCAUCUUAAAGUCUGUACUGAAAGAGUCGUAGUAUAGCCUUGAAGCUUGUUUAUGCGUUAUUGUAAUUCGUCUGGGACAAAAUGGCGCAAACAUAUUAUGCACUGAGGUUAUUGCUUAAAGAAACAGUUAUGAAAAACAAUAUGUUCCAUUUCUAACACCUUGUCAGUUUGCAAUAUCUCUUAAAGACAAAGUACACAGUUUAAGAAAUAUAACAUUUCAUUAUAAAACUUGUAAUAUUUGCAUUUGCCCAUAACACUACCUUCCCCUUCCUAUACAAACAAGUUAUUAUAAUAUGCUUCCUUUUCAAAUAAAAACAGUUUUACACUAGUAUUAGAGUAUUACUGUGUGAUGAUUUAAUUAUUACACUAUCAACUACUCUACACCAAAUAUUA
This is a non-coding RNA of Pelobates cultripes (western spadefoot toad), 460 nucleotides long. The record is from the annotation of a GenBank genome assembly. Lineage: Eukaryota; Metazoa; Chordata; Amphibia; Anura; Pelobatidae.